RNAcentral lists this ribosomal RNA (870 nucleotides) under uncultured bacterium. Its description in RNAcentral is "bacterial SSU rRNA". It matches the Rfam family "Bacterial small subunit ribosomal RNA", at positions 23 to 924 of the family's 1533-position model. The record is from RNAcentral.
GCGGGGAUCCACCAAGCACGUGCCUACACAUGCAAAUCGAAUGAAAAUAAUUAAUUAUUGUUUUCAUGGUGAACGGGUGAGUAACACAUAAGAAUCAGCUUUUAGAUAAGGCAUAAAAGAGUAAUAUCUUGGUAAUUCCUUAUAUGCGCAGCAGUGCUUAAAAAGGGGAGUCCCGUCUAAAAACGAGCUUAUGCCUGAUUAGCUAGUUGGCGAGUUAAAAGCUCACCAAGGCGAAGAUCAGUAGCUGGCCUGAGAGGGCGGCCAGCCACAUUGGGACUGAGACACGGCCCAAACUCCUACGGGAGGCAGCAGUGGGGAAUCUUCUGCAAUGGGCGCAAGCCUGACAGAGCGGCGUCGUGUGAAGGAAGAAGGCCUGAAAUAGGUUGUAAACUUCUUUUACUGAGUAAUGAAUAAUGACAACGCAGUAAAAAAGUAUCGGCUAACUCCGUGCCAGCAGCCGCGGUAAUACGGGGGAUGCAAGCGUUAUCCGGAAUCACUGGGCGUAAAGCGUCUGUAGGUGGUUUAGUGUGUUCUUAGUUAAAUUAUGAAGCUUAACUUCAUGAAAAGUAAGAAAACUAUUAGACUUGAGUACGAUAGGGGUAAGAGGAAUUCUUCGAGAAGUAGUGAAAUGCGAAGAUACGAAGGAGAAGAUCAUAAGCGAAGGCUUCUUACUGGGUCGUAACUGACACUGAGAGACGAAAGCUAGGGGAGCGAAUGGGAUUAGAUACCCCAGUAGUCCUAGCUGUAAACGAUGGAUAUUCGGUGCCGGAAAUUUUAUUAGAACAUUUCGGUACCCUAGCUAACGCGUUAAAUAUCCCGCCUGAGGAGUACGCUCGCAAGGGUGAAACUCAAUGAAUUGACGGGAAGGGC